Molecule: ribosomal RNA, 455 nt
Filed under: uncultured Hyphomicrobiales bacterium
Lineage: Bacteria; Pseudomonadati; Pseudomonadota; Alphaproteobacteria; Hyphomicrobiales
Description: uncultured Rhizobiales bacterium partial 16S ribosomal RNA
Source: RNAcentral
CACGAAGUUAGCCGGGGCUUCUUCUUCCGGUACCGUCAUUAUCGUCCCGGACGAAAGAGCUUUACAACCCUAAGGCCUUCAUCACUCACGCGGCAUGGCUGGAUCAGGCUUGCGCCCAUUGUCCAAUAUUCCCCACUGCUGCCUCCCGUAGGAGUCUGGGCCGUGUCUCAGUCCCAGUGUGGCUGAUCAUCCUCUCAGACCAGCUACUGAUCGUCGCCUUGGUGAGCCAUUACCUCACCAACUAGCUAAUCAGACGCGGGCCGAUCCUUCAGCGAUAAAUCUUUCCCCCGAAGGGCGUAUCCGGUAUUAGCUCAAGUUUCCCUGAGUUGUUCCGAACCGAAGGGCACGUUCCCACGUGUUACUCACCCGUCUGCCACUGACACCCGAAGGUGCCCGUUCGACUUGCAUGUGUUAAGCCUGCCGCCAGCGUUCGCUCUGAGCCAGGAUCAAACUCU